ACUCCUACGGGAGGCAGCAGUGGGGAAUAUUGCACAAUGGGCGCAAGCCUGAUGCAGCCAUGCCGCGUGUAUGAAGAAGGCCUUCGGGUUGUAAAGUACUUUCAGCAGUGAGGAAGGUGGGUAUGUUAAUAGCAUAUUCAUUUGACGUUAGCUGCAGAAGAAGCACCGGCUAACUCCGUGCCAGCAGCCGCGGUAAUACGGAGGGUGCGAGCGUUAAUCGGAAUUACUGGGCGUAAAGCGCAUGCAGGUGGUUUGUUAAGUCAGAUGUGAAAGCCCGGGGCUCAACCUCGGAAUUGCAUUUGAAACUGGCAAACUAGAGUACUGUAGAGGGGGGUAGAAUUUCAGGUGUAGCGGUGAAAUGCGUAGAGAUCUGAAGGAAUACCGGUGGCGAAGGCGGCCCCCUGGACAGAUACUGACACUCAGAUGCGAAAGCGUGGGGAGCAAACAGGAUUAGAUACCCUGGUAGGUUCUGC
This 473-nucleotide ribosomal RNA is filed under the name uncultured bacterium. RNAcentral describes it as "bacterial SSU rRNA". It matches the Rfam family "Bacterial small subunit ribosomal RNA", at positions 335 to 800 of the family's 1533-position model. The record is from RNAcentral.